GACGAACGCUGGCGGCGUGCUUAACACAUGCAAGUCGAACGGAAAGGCCCUGCUUUUGUGGGGUGCUCGAGUGGCGAGCGGGUGAGUAACACGUGAGUAACCUGCCCUUGACUUUGGGAUAACUUCAGGAAACUGGGGCUAAUACCGGAUAGGAGCUCCUGCUGCAUGGUGGGGGUUGGAAACUUUCGGCGGUUGGGGAUGGACUCGCGGCUUAUCAGCUUGUUGGUGGGGUAGUGGCUUACCAAGGCUUUGACGGGUAGCCGGCCUGAGAGGGUGACCGGCCACAUUGGGACUGAGAUACGGCCCAGACUCCUACGGGAGGCAGCAGUGGGGAAUAUUGCACAAUGGGCGGAAGCCUGAUGCAGCAACGCCGCGUGCGGGAUGACGGCCUUCGGGUUGUAAACCGCUUUCGCCUGUGACGAAGCGUGAGUGACGGUAAUGGGUAAAGAAGCACCGGCUAACUACGUGCCAGCAGCCGCGGUGAUACGUAGGGUGCGAGCGUUGUCCGGAUUUAUUGGGCGUAAAGGGCUCGUAGGUGGUUGAUCGCGUCGGAAGUGUAAUCUUGGGGCUUAACCCUGAGCGUGCUUUCGAUACGGGUUGACUUGAGGAAGGUAGGGGAGAAUGGAAUUCCUGGUGGAGCGGUGGAAUGCGCAGAUAUCAGGAGGAACACCAGUGGCGAAGGCGGUUCUCUGGGCCUUUCCUGACGCUGAGGAGCGAAAGCGUGGGGAGCGAACAGGCUUAGAUACCCUGGUAGUCCACGCUGUAAACGGUGGGUACUAGGUGUGGGGUCCAUUCCACGGGUUCCGUGCCGUAGCUAACGCUUUAAGUACCCCGCCUGGGGAGUACGGCCGCAAGGCUAAAACUCAAAGGAAUUGACGGGGCCCCGCACAAGCGGCGGAGCAUGCGGAUUAAUUCGAUGCAACGCGUAGAACCUUACCUGGGUUUGACAUGGAUCGGGAGUGCUCAGAGAUGGGUGUGCCUCUUUUGGGGUCGGUUCACAGGUGGUGCAUGGCUGUCGUCAGCUCGUGUCGUGAGAUGUUGGGUUAAGUCCCGCAACGAGCGCAACCCUUGUUCACUGUUGCCAGCACGUUAUGGUGGGGACUCAGUGGAGACCGCCGGGGUCAACUCGGAGGAAGGUGGGGAUGACGUCAAGUCAUCAUGCCCCUUAUGUCCAGGGCUUCACGCAUGCUACAAUGGCUGGUACAGAGAGUGGCGAGCCUGUGAGGGUGAGCGAAUCUCGGAAAGCCGGUCUCAGUUCGGAUUGGGGUCUGCAACUCGACCUCAUGAAGUCGGAGUCGCUAGUAAUCGCAGAUCAGCAACGCUGCGGUGAAUACGUUCCCGGGGCU
This 1346-nucleotide ribosomal RNA is filed under the name uncultured bacterium. RNAcentral describes it as "partial 16S ribosomal RNA". It matches the Rfam family "Bacterial small subunit ribosomal RNA", at positions 28 to 1381 of the family's 1533-position model. The record is from RNAcentral.